RNAcentral lists this ribosomal RNA (433 nucleotides) under uncultured bacterium. RNAcentral's name for it is "partial 16S ribosomal RNA". It matches the Rfam family "Bacterial small subunit ribosomal RNA", at positions 29 to 507 of the family's 1533-position model. The record is from RNAcentral.
AACGAACGCUGGCGGCAUGCCUAACACAUGCAAGUCGAACGAGACCUUCGGGUCUAGUGGCGCACGGGUGCGUAACGCGUGGGAAUCUGCCCUUGGGUUCGGAAUAACAGUUGGAAACGACUGCUAAUACCGGAUGAUGACGUAAGUCCAAAGAUUUAUCGCCCAGGGAUGAGCCCGCGUAGGAUUAGCUAGUUGGUGAGGUAAAGGCUCACCAAGGCGACGAUCCUUAGCUGGUCUGAGAGGAUGAUCAGCCACACUGGGACUGAGACACGGCCCAGACUCCUACGGGAGGCAGCAGUGGGGAAUAUUGGACAAUGGGCGAAAGCCUGAUCCAGCAAUGCCGCGUGAGUGAUGAAGGCCUUAGGGUUGUAAAGCUCUUUUACCCGGGAUGAUAAUGACAGUACCGGGAGAAUAAGCUCCGGCUAACCCCGUG